This 295-nucleotide ribosomal RNA is filed under the name uncultured bacterium. RNAcentral describes it as "partial 16S ribosomal RNA". It matches the Rfam family "Bacterial small subunit ribosomal RNA", at positions 334 to 645 of the family's 1533-position model. The record is from RNAcentral.
UGGUCCUACGGGAGGCAGCAGUGGGGAAUAUUGGGCAAUGGGCGCAAGCCUGACCCAGCAACGCCGCGUGAAGGAAGAAGGCUUUCGGGUUGUAAACUUCUUUUGACUGGGAAGAGCAGAAGACGGUACCUGUCGAAUAAGCCACGGCUAACUACGUGCCAGCAGCCGCGGUAAUACGUAGGUGGCAAGCGUUGUCCGGAUUUACUGGGUGUAAAGGGCGUGUAGCCGGGCUGACAAGUCAGCGGUAAAAUGUCGGGGCUCAACCCCGGCCGGCCGUUGAAACUGGCGUGCUCGA